Molecule: ribosomal RNA, 372 nt
Filed under: uncultured organism
Description: bacterial SSU rRNA
Rfam family: Bacterial small subunit ribosomal RNA
Source: RNAcentral
CAGAGGGGGCAAGCGUUAUUCGGAAUUAUUGGGCGUAAAGGGCGCGUAGGCGGCUUUUCAAGUGGCGGGUGAAAUCCCUCGGCUUAACCGAGGAACUGCCUGCCAGACUGGAAGGCUUGAGACCGGGAGAGGUGAGUGGAAUUCCCAGUGUAGCGGUGAAAUGCGUAGAUAUUGGGAGGAACACCAGUGGCGAAGGCGGCUCACUGGACCGGAACUGACGCUGAGGCGCGAAAGCGUGGGGAGCAAACAGGAUUAGAUACCCUGGUAGUCCACGCCGUAAACGAUGAGUGCUUGGUGUAGCGGGUAUCGACCCCUGCUGUGCCGAAGUCAACACAUUAAGCACUCCGCCUGGGGAGUACGGUCGCAAGACUG